UCUCGGCUUAUCACCGGCAGUCCCCUUAGAGUGCCCAACUGAAUGAUGGCAACUAAGGGCGAGGGUUGCGCUCGUUGCGGGACUUAACCCAACACCUCACGACACGAGCUGACGACAGCCAUGCAGCACCUGUGUUCCGGCCAGCCGAACUGAAGAAUGAGGUCUCCCCCACCCAUACCGGACAUGUCAAGGGCUGGUAAGGUUCUUCGCGUUGCGUCGAAUUAAACCACAUGCUCCACCGCUUGUGCGGGCCCCCGUCAAUUCCUUUGAGUUUUAGCCUUGCGGCCGUACUCCCCAGGCGGGGCGCUUAAUGCGUUAGCUACGGCACAAAAGGGGUCGAUUCCUCUUACAGCAAAUGCGCACCGUUUACGGCUAGGACUAC
This 382-nucleotide unclassified non-coding RNA is filed under the name uncultured bacterium. RNAcentral describes it as "contains 16S-23S intergenic spacer region". The record is from RNAcentral.